AGCGAACGUUAGCGGCGGGCCUAACACAUGCAAGUCGAGCGAGAAAGUGGCUUCGGCCAUCAGUAAAGCGGCGGACGGGUGAGUAACACGUAGGUAAUCUUCCCUUGAGCGGGGGACAACGUUUCGAAAGGAACGCUAAUACCGCAUAAGUUUCCAGGAACUCUGGUUCUUGGAAGGAAAGCUAGGUCGCAAGAUCCGGCACUCGAGGAGGAGCCUGCGUCGCAUCAGCUAGUUGGUGGGGUAANGGCCUACCAAGGCGAAGACGCGUAGCUGGUCUGAGAGGAUGAUCAGCCACACUGGGACUGAGACACGGCCCAGACUCCUACGGGAGGCAGCAGUGGGGAAUAUUGGACAAUGGGCGCAAGCCUGAUCCAGCCACGCCGCGUGAGUGAUGAAGGCCU
Molecule: ribosomal RNA, 401 nt
Filed under: uncultured bacterium
Lineage: Bacteria
Description: bacterial SSU rRNA
Rfam family: Bacterial small subunit ribosomal RNA
Source: RNAcentral